RNAcentral lists this unclassified non-coding RNA (292 nucleotides) under Hevea brasiliensis (rubber tree). Lineage: Eukaryota; Viridiplantae; Streptophyta; Magnoliopsida; Malpighiales; Euphorbiaceae. The record is from RNAcentral.
GAGAGAGAAUUUGCGUGGCAGGUGCUGGAGGGGAUGUGACUUCGUGGCUUGUGAAGUUUCUCUUUGCCAGGGUUACAUGGCAAAUACUUUCUCCUCAUCCUCCUCUCUGCUUUUUCAUUUUAAAUCGAGUUACACAGAAAAUAAAAGCUAUCUUUUGUUUGAAUCACCAAGGAAUUUUCAAACUAGUAAUUUAACUCGAUUCUAUUGAUGAAAACCGAACUAUAGAUGAAACAAAUGAGAAACAGAGAAACUCACAGUUAGUGGAGCAGCAGAGAGAUAAGACAUGCUCAAU